RNAcentral lists this ribosomal RNA (429 nucleotides) under Gemmatimonadota bacterium. RNAcentral describes it as "Gemmatimonadetes bacterium partial 16S ribosomal RNA". It matches the Rfam family "Bacterial small subunit ribosomal RNA", at positions 355 to 776 of the family's 1533-position model. Lineage: Bacteria; Pseudomonadati; Gemmatimonadota. The record is from RNAcentral.
UAGGGAAUCUUCGGCAAUGGACGAAAGUCUGACCGAGCAACGCCGCGUGAGUGAAGAAGGCUUUCUGAUCGUAAAACUCUGUUGUUAGAGAAGAACAAGGACGUUAGUAACUGAACGUCCCCUGACGGUAUCUAACCAGAAAGCCACGGCUAACUACGUGCCAGCAGCCGCGGUAAUACGUAGGUGGCAAGCGUUGUCCGGAUUUAUUGGGCGUAAAGCGAGCGCAGGCGGUUUCUUAAGUCUGAUGUGAAAGCCCCCGGCUCAACCGGGGAGGGUCAUUGGAAACUGGGAGACUUGAGUGCAGAAGAGGGGAGUGGAAUUCCAUGUGUAGCGGUGAAAUGCGUAGAUAUAUGGAGGAACACCAGUGGCGAAGGCGGCUCUCUGGUCUGUGACUGACGCUGAGGCUCGAAAGCGUGGGGAGCAAACAGG